ACGGAAGGCAGCAGUGGGGAAUAUUGGGCAAUGGGGGAAACCCUGACCCAGCAACGCCGCGUGAGGGAAGAAGGCUUUCGGGUUGUAAACCUCUUUUACCAGGGACGAAGAACGUGACGGUACCUGGAGAAAAAGCAACGGCUAACUACGUGCCAGCAGCCGCGGUAAUACGUAGGUUGCAAGCGUUGUCCGGAUUUACUGGGUGUAAAGGGCGUGUAGGCGGAGCUGCAAGUCAGAUGUGAAAUCCCGGGGCUCAACCCCGGAACUGCAUUUGAAACUGUCGCCCUUGAGUGUCGGAGAGGUAGACGGAAUUCCUAGUGUAGCGGUGAAAUGCGUAGAUAUUAGGAGGAACACCAGUGGCGAAGGCGGUCUACUGGACGAUAACUGACGCUGAGGCGCGAAAGCGUGGGGAGCAAACAGGAUUAGAUACCCUGGUA
Molecule: ribosomal RNA, 437 nt
Rfam family: Bacterial small subunit ribosomal RNA